RNAcentral lists this ribosomal RNA (253 nucleotides) under uncultured bacterium. RNAcentral describes it as "partial 16S ribosomal RNA". It matches the Rfam family "Bacterial small subunit ribosomal RNA", at positions 524 to 776 of the family's 1533-position model. The record is from RNAcentral.
UACGGGGGGGGCAAGCGUUGUUCGGAAUUACUGGGCGUAAAGGGUUUGUAGGUGGCUUGCUAAGUCAGACGUGAAAUCCCUCAGCUUAACUGGGGAACUGCGUCUGAGACUGGCGAGCUUGAGUGCAGGAGAGGAACGCGGAAUUCCAGGUGUAGCGGUGAAAUGCGUAGAUAUCUGGAGGAACACCGGUGGCGAAGGCGGCGUUCUGGACUGCAACUGACACUGAGAAACGAAAGCCAGGGGAGCAAACGGG